Molecule: ribosomal RNA, 555 nt
Filed under: uncultured eubacterium MP1-K5
Lineage: Bacteria; Bacillati; Actinomycetota; Rubrobacteria
Description: bacterial SSU rRNA
Rfam family: Bacterial small subunit ribosomal RNA
Source: RNAcentral
GGAGCAGCAGUCGGAAUCUUGCACAAUGGCGAAGCCUGAUGCAGCAACACCGUGUGAGCGAUGAAGGCCUUAGGUCGUAAAGCUCUGUUUGCGAGGACGAGGGGCGAAGGGUUAAUAGCCCUUAGCCUGACGGUACUUGUACAGAAAGCCCCGGCUAACUACGUGCCAGCAGCCGCGGUAAUACGUAGGGGGCGAGCGUUGUCCGGAAUUAUUGGGCGUAAAGAGCGUGUAGGCGGCUUGGUAAGUCUGCUGUGAAACCUUGGGGCUCAACCCCAAGCGUGCAGUGGAUACUGUCAAGCUAGAGGAUGGUAGAGGCCAGUGGAAUUCCCAGUGUAGCGGUGAAAUGCGCAGAUAUUGGGAGGAACACCAGUAGCGAAGGCGGCUGGCUGGGCCACUCCUGACGCUGAGACGCGAAAGCUAGGGGAGCGAACAGGAUUAGAUACCCUGGUAGUCCUAGCCGUAAACGAUGAACACUAGGUGUGGGGGGAGUCGAAUCCCUCUGUGCCGAAGCUAACGCGUUAAGUGUUCCGCCUGGGGAGUACGGCCGCAAGGCUA